UCUGUCUGUCUGUCUGUCUGUCUGACUGACUGUCUCUCUCUCUUGUUACAGACCAUCCUUUACAGACAGGAAACGUCUUGGUUUGGACAGGAAGCGUCCUGGAGGCUCCAGGUUCAAGAAGAAGUGAAUCCAGCAGCUUCGUCUCUGAUCAUCUUCGUCUUCAUCGUCUCUGUUUGUUUGUUUUCAUUAAAGAGAAUUUAAAUAGU
This is a long non-coding RNA of Scomber scombrus (Atlantic mackerel), 206 nucleotides long. RefSeq lists it as uncharacterized. The record is from RefSeq and is a predicted model, not a curated record. The transcript is spliced from 2 exons. Lineage: Eukaryota; Metazoa; Chordata; Actinopteri; Scombriformes; Scombridae.